UUAUUUAUUUAUAUGCUGUUCAAUACUAAAGUCUCUGGAUGGCUUCCAAAAAACAAACAAAACAAACAAAGAACAAAACAACCACAUGCAACAAACAACACAUUUCAUUCAACCAUUAAGGAAUACUUUUGAAUAGCUGAGAUGGAUUUUUAGGGUUCAUUGAAAGGUUUUGCUUUGUCUUUAUUUAUUUGUGACUUUUGUUUUAUAAAUGAUUUCUUUUCCAUUAUUUUAGAAACUACCUUGACUUGCUCCUCUAUAAAAGAGUUAUCAAUGUUUUCAAUAAAUAAAUGUGUUACUGGAAGACACAGAAUGCAUGGACUCCAGCCAUUAAACUUUGAACUAACUUUAUGUGAUGUUAGUAUUUUAUUUAGGUAUUUAUUUAUACUAUUUACAUACCGCUUAAUUUUAUUGAAUCCCGAAGCAAUUCUACUAGAAACAGAAGUAGAGAAACAAAGAUCAUAUUCUCAAAAUAUACAAUUACUGAAUAAAAGUGUAAUUUGAUUAAGGCCUUUAUUCUAAUGAAGAAAACCUAUGCUAUAACUGAAGCAUUUGUAUUGCACUGGUCAGAACAAGAUCAAUAAGAAAAUGGAUUAAAUGGGUCCACUUCUCCCUUCCAUUAAAUGAAUGAAGAAAGAAAAGCAGAAGCUCAAGUUUGCAGGAGAAGCCUGACUGGGGCAUAUGGGCAGUGACAAGAUGGACCCAUGACAUCCUCACUUGCCUAGCUGGAAGCCAUUUUCCCAGGUCUUCAGCUCAGCCAAUCCACAGAGCAGCAGUCCCUUUCCCACUGAGAGCAAUGGAAGCAGGGAAGUGGAAGAAACAGAGGGGAUAAGAUGCAACAGCACCAAGGCUGUUGGAGCUGAUUGCUUGAGACUGGUGUGGAUGCUUCCUUGUUAUGGCUACCCAAAGGUAGGCAGAACCAGGGAACAGAACUGAACUGGAAU
Varanus komodoensis (Komodo dragon) is the source of this 941-nucleotide long non-coding RNA. RefSeq lists it as uncharacterized. The transcript has 3 exons. The record is from RefSeq and is a predicted model, not a curated record. Lineage: Eukaryota; Metazoa; Chordata; Lepidosauria; Squamata; Varanidae.